Long non-coding RNA from Cynara cardunculus var. scolymus (artichoke), 371 nucleotides. RefSeq lists it as uncharacterized. The transcript has 3 exons. The record is from RefSeq and is a predicted model, not a curated record. NCBI's taxonomy places the organism in Eukaryota, Viridiplantae, Streptophyta, Magnoliopsida, Asterales, Asteraceae.
GAGAGAGAGAGAGAGAGAGAGAGAUUGAAGAACAGCAGGAGACUUCCGAUUUGAAGAUCUGAAGAAAUUUGAAGAAAUCCGAUUUGUGCGGAUUCGGUUUCUUGGUUCACGACAUUUUCACCAACUUGAAUCGCAAUAUCUGAAGAAAUCGAUGAUCGUGAACGAAUCGUCUUUGGUUGAUCCUGAUUCGGUCUCUGCAGAUCCAAGCACAUCUCAUCCAACCGAAUAUUAUUCAAUCAUCCAACUUAAAGAAACUAUUAUGGAUCCAUAAACCUCUUUUCCCAGGUGCAAGUGGAGAAUUUGAACGUAAUUACCUUCAAUUCUUUAUAUCUCGAUGCCAUUUUGAUUUUUUUAUUUCUAAAUUUAAAAAG